AUUAGCUAGACGGCGGGGUAACGGCCCACCGUGGCGACGAUGGGUAGCCGGCCUGAGAGGGUGGACGGCCACAUUGGAACUGAGACACGGUCCAGACUCCUACGGGAGGCAGCAGCUAAGAAUCUUCCGCAAUGGGCGAAAGCCUGACGGAGCGACGCCGCGUGAACGAAGAAGGCCGUGAGGUUGUAAAGUUCUUUUCGGGAGGGGGAACAACCGUGGCAGGGAAUGGCCGCGGGAUGACGUGAAUCCCGGAAUAAGCCCCGGCUAACUACGUGCCAGCAGCCGCGGUAACACGUAGGGGGCGAGCGUUGUUCGGAAUCAUUGGGCGUAAAGGGCGUGCAGGCGGUCCUGCAAGUCCGGCGUGAAAGACCCCGGCCCAACCGGGGGGACGCGCUGGAAACUGCAGGGCUUGAGUACAGGAGGGGAUGCCGGAAUUCCAGGUGUAGGGGUGAAAUCUGUAGAUAUCUGGAAGAACACCAAUGGCGAAGGCAGGCAUCUGGCCAUGUACUGACGCUGAGACGCGAAGGUGCGGGGAGCAAACAGGUUUAGAUACCCUGGUAGUCCGCACAGUAAAC
This 575-nucleotide ribosomal RNA is filed under the name uncultured bacterium. RNAcentral describes it as "bacterial SSU rRNA". It matches the Rfam family "Bacterial small subunit ribosomal RNA", at positions 240 to 807 of the family's 1533-position model. The record is from RNAcentral.